Molecule: ribosomal RNA, 511 nt
Filed under: Eurema blanda (three-spot grass yellow)
Lineage: Eukaryota; Metazoa; Arthropoda; Insecta; Lepidoptera; Pieridae
Description: partial 16S ribosomal RNA
Rfam family: Bacterial large subunit ribosomal RNA (bases 387-511)
Source: RNAcentral
GUCUUUUUGAAAAUAAUAAAAAGUCUAAUCUGCCCACUGAAUUUAUUUAAAGGGCUGCAGUAUAUUGACUGUACAAAGGUAGCAUAAUCAGUAGUCUUUUAAUUGAAGACUUGUAUGAAUGAUUUGAUGAAAUAUAAACUGUCUCUUUAUUAAAAAUAAAAUUUAAUUUUUUAGUUAAAAAGCUAAAAUAACUAUAAAAGACGAGAAGACCCUAUAGAGUUUUAUAAUUAUUGUAAUUUGAUAAUUUUUUAUAUAAAUUAAAUUUUAAUUUAAAUAAUUAUUUUAUUGGGGUGAUAGAAAAAUUAAAUGAACUUUUUUUAAUUUAAAACAUUAAUUUAUGAUACUAUGAUCCAUAAUUUAUGAUUAAAAGAAUUAAUUACCUUAGGGAUAACAGCGUAAUUUUUUUUUUUAGUACAAAUAAGAAAAAGAGUUUGCGACCUCGAUGUUGGAUUAAGAUAAAAUUUAAAUGCAAAAGUUUAAAAUUUUUGAUCUGUUCGAUCAUUAAAAUCUU